GGAGCUGGAGUGAGGUGAGGCCCUGCUAAAAAAUAAAGAUUUGAAUAAAAGCCUCUAGAAAAACAAAUCGUGCUGAAAAUCCUUGCAAAUAUGUGGAAGGUACAUGGAACAAAUGUACUUUGUAAAAUUAGGAGAGAAAAACAAAAAAAGUAAACUGUAAUCUCACAUUUUACCACUAGAUGGCACUCCACUCAUUUCACCUUUGCUUAAUUGAAUAAACAGGGCAAUUCACAAGGUUAAGAAGUAAUCAUCCAUCAUCUCAGAAGAAAAAAAAACUUUUUUUUUAGGAUCUGUAAACUGAUGACUAAAUUUUGAUAAGAGGAAGUAGAUCUGCUAAAUAGAAAUAAUUUGAACAGGCUUUUACCAAACUCAAACAUUUCAAUCUUUGCAAGACGAAACACCUCCAGACUUUCAGAGAGCUGAACUCUUUCUCAAAAGCACGAAUUAACUUUUCUUUUCUUUUUUUUUAUAGCUUAUUCUGGAUCUCAUCCCAGAAUUCCUCCUCGACGUUCACGAGCAGUGGUCUUCUCCAGCUUUUCUCCAAAUUUCAAGUAAAAACGUUUUAUAUAGACAAGUUAAAAAGCAGGAGACAUAUCGGUGAGAGAAGAGAAGGCUUCUUGGUCGACAUGCUGCUUCCACCGAGGUUCGGUUUCAAAGAGUGGGGCCUGAGCGGCCGACAUUCACAACACUAGCGUGGGAUUAUGGGAAGCGAAAAGUCUGAGGCCACAUCCUGUUUAACUUGUCCUCAGACUAGAAAGCUGCUGCUCCUCCGAAUUAAACACACAAACAGACGAGGGCAUGUUUCUGUGCGGUGGGUCGGGUCAUAAAAACAAUAAAAAGAAGAAAAAUCAAUAAUCUUAAAUUUAGAAAAAAGAUAUAUACACACACAUCAAUAACAUUAAAUUCAUCAUGUACAAGAGUAGGAAAACUUUACAGUCAGAAAAAAGUAUUGUAUUUAUCCUCCCCUACUUUGGCUAAAAAAAUAGAAAUCAACAUCUCUAUAAUGUAAUACUUUUAUAUCUGCAUAAAACAAAAAACAAUAAACCAUAAUCUGCUUUGUUCUCAACCCAAGAGUUUAGUGAACCUUCCCUAAAACCAAGUGCUUCUCUUUAUUUCCAUUUUUCUGGACAGAUGACAUUGGCUGCUAUUUACAGUUUGACGAGCUUAUUAUAAUUGUAGAGAUUUCCAAAUGAUACGCUUUUGUUGUUUUGUUUUGUGUGUGUGUGUGUGUGUGUGUGUGUGUGUGUGUGUGUGUGUGUGUGUGUGUGUGUGUGUGUGUGUGUGUGUCAGGGGGGAGGGAGGGACAGACACUCAGCACCUCCCACCUUAAGCCCCUCAUAAAUUGUUGCUUUGCACAAAAACAAGCGUCUAAGAAAACCCGCAGACAGAAAGAUGUGAGCUGCUUCGAGAUGAAACGUCACGGUUUCUGGGAUUAAAAAAAAAAAAAAAA
Molecule: long non-coding RNA, 1450 nt
Organism: Poecilia latipinna (sailfin molly)
Lineage: Eukaryota; Metazoa; Chordata; Actinopteri; Cyprinodontiformes; Poeciliidae
Exons: 2
Source: RefSeq, a predicted model, not a curated record